RNAcentral lists this long non-coding RNA (524 nucleotides) under Castor canadensis (American beaver). RNAcentral's name for it is "lncRNA (ENSCCNG00000013682.1)". Lineage: Eukaryota; Metazoa; Chordata; Mammalia; Rodentia; Castoridae. The record is from RNAcentral.
CCAAUCCAGGCAAAGGCCCUGGACACAAAAUGGGAUCUUAUAAUAAUAAAUGUCUAUCUUUUGUUUUUUAAGUCUCUAGGAAACAGGAUGCCUAGCUUCUGGGAAAACUGCUCCUUUACUCCAGUGUGUUGAUGGAAAGGACCUGCCUCCUUUUGGUAUAUUAUUUUAUUCAAAGGCUUCACAUUACCAGAUGGCAUUGGAGCAGUUGCAGAGUCACCCUAAGGCACUUAAGCUCUGGGCACUCCCUUUAAAAUCUUCAACUCACCAUCAAGAACAGCACUGUGGACGUUGACUCCUGUCUGUGGAUCCAAAGCAGAGACCAUCUCUAUCCCAGAUCAACCAGAGAUGCCCCCUUUCAGAGGUAUUCUGGGAAAGUAGUGGGGGUGGGGGCAGGAGGAGAGCCUCCUGAUGAAAACAGGUCUGAUUCCCAUUUUCUUUUGUUGUUAAAUGAUUGCAGUAAUAAGAAUUAAUUUUCAAAACUUGAAGCUGAAACUUUGUGGCUGGGCAGCAAGCCAGUGCUGUGC